AAGUACUAGAACAUCAAGUAGUAAAACGAAAUAUAUUACGUUACCUGCAUAAAAUCUCUUUCAUGAUAAUAAAAAAUAUAAUAACACAUAUAAUAAAUUUUACAACGGGGAAUAUAAAUUUUACGUCUUUCAGUAUGUCAGAUAUCGUAAAUAUUCGGACAGUUACAGAUAUUGACGGAAAGUAGGAAAGGAAAGACAGUGUAACCGAUUAUGUGAGUGUUCCAAUUUCUGUUAUCGCUAUUAACUAUGUAGGUUGAAAUUUCGGUAAGAUAAUGUACGUUUGUAUUGGAUUCUAAUCGACAUGUGUACACGAAAGAUUUGAUUUCUCUGCUCACUGAAACGUUUAAUUUAGGUUACUGAAUUGCAUCCUCUUCGAUAAACUAGUCGAAUGGUUGUUCGAAUUCGUAGUUUUAUUCGAUAUUGAAGGAAUUCCAUAUAUUUAGUUACACUUUUUUCUUUAUCCGAGUUCUGGUUUAUUUAGGACAUUUCUUUUUAUACCUCUGUAGCUUGCGUGGCCUCGUGCUGUAGAAUAUUUAUCAAGAGAGUAAGUUUUCCAAUUUAAGCUUUAUCAUUAGGUAUUUUAAAAAUACAAACAUCCGUAACUUUCCAAGCAAGGCGGUUGAUGAAGUCCACUGCACCCACAGGAGGAUCGAUGGUAACCAAUAAAUAAUGCAUGAGAUGCAUCUGCACGCCCUCGUAAGGUUGUAUAGUUAGGAGAGACUCGUUUAAGGUGAACAUUACGGUUAUACACCGGCGAAAAUUCGUCGAAAUCAAGGACUUUGAUUAAUUACAACUACAACGUAUUGAUUAUUUACGCGGAGUGUUUAUCACGUGAAAAAUAAAUUUCAGAACAGAUAAAACAGAUUUUUCCCAUUUAUAUAUAUAAUAUAUACGGUGUAUAACCGUAAUGUCUAUCAUCAUUUAUGUUUAGCAAUUAUGUUUAGAUAAACUAGUCCACGUAAAUCGAAUUAAUCGCACUUUUGAAAUUAAAGUGCGCAUGCUACACGUCAGGUUGCCAUGGGAAAACAGAAUUUAAGAUAACAUUAUAAUUCGAUAGAGUUAACGUCGCGUAUCUGGCCUUGUCUGCCUACACUUUGAAAUAAUUCAAUACAUCCAUUCUUCGAACGUAUCGAGUACAUGGAAAAAAAUUAAAUGUUACUCGAAUGACUAAUAAUGGGAAAAAGGCAAAAGUCGUGUGUGUAUGUGUGUGUUGGAGUACGAUAUAAUUGUGAGAGAGUUGUUGGAAAGGAAAAAAUGGCAUACACCUGGUAUGAACCUAUGUACGUACACGAUCGUAAAGAAAUCAUAAACGAUUUAUAGAGAACACGAUGGUAAUAGUUCUUACUUCUUACAUUGUCAAUAAUUAGGGAGAUUCCGAAGUAUUUUCUCUUAUAUUGAACGGAACAACUAAAAAGUUAUUUUACGUGUAUACAACGAAAUUGAUCAAUCGUAAGUUUUAUGACAACCGAUAAUAAUAUGGAAAUUGUACGAAGUGAGAUCGGUUCCAAUACAUACAUAUAUACAUAUAUGUUUACUGAUAAAAGUACUUCGCUGUAUAUGCUGUCUCCUCUGUAUUUUCAUAAGGCCUUGAAUAACACGUCUCUGAUGAACUAUUCUUUUCUUACCAUCGUUCCCUAAUUUACAUAUUCUGAUGUUGACAUAAUAAACAGAAGCGUUAUAUCUCGCACGGAAUUGUCGCGUUAUCAUGAUAUUUCAGUGAACGUCGUUAAUGAAUUGCAGAACAGGUUAAUCAAAAUAUCUAUGUCUAUAUAUAGCGUCGUUACGAAGAUAACUUUAGGAUAAAAAACGAAAAUUUACGUAAGCAUAGACAAAAAAAAAAAAAAAAAGAAAUAUCAAAGUGGCGGUUAAAUCAUCGUAAUCGUAACAAAAUUAUUCAUGCUUGAAUCUAAGGAAGCAGCAGUAAGGUAUCUUUAAUUAAGAUUCAUAUCGUGCUGGCUCCUAGAGUUUUUCCACGAUUCCUCUCGCAUGAGCGCACGCGACGCGUUCGAGAAUGAAUACAUGGCAGGAACUCACGAGUUUGCGUGAUUGGCAUAUAAAAUACGCACAGAAAAGACAGUUGUACUUUACGUAUGUUGUCUUAGACACAAUGGGGAACACACCGUGAUGUGAACAACUGCAACGAUGUAGACUUGAGAACAUUGAGAAAAAUCAUGGAAAGUAUAAUUAAUUCUAUAAUAUGUUCGAACGCUACUGUAUUAUAGGAAUAUUCCCAAUUUCUUAUAUACCUUAGUUGCAAUUGACGAUUAUUGUUAGAGAUAAUUAGCAAUUAUAUUAAUCGGUACUUUUGUCCGAUAAAAAUGAAUUCGAUAAAAGUUGCCUACGAUUAUGGCAUUAGAAAUGCUACUUUAAUCAAUUUCUAAAAAACCAAAAAAAGAAAAAAAAAUGAAAAGAAAAGAAAAGGAAGAAAAAGUUGCAAAACGAGAUCUAAUUACUUGAUAUCUUGAAGUGGAUGUUACUCCGAUUAUACCGUAUAAGUAGAAACGGUUUAUGGAAACUACUGAUCGUGAGACAACGCAGAAAACAACCGGAAGUCUCAGCUCAACGAUGAAUCGAUAGAAAGACGUUCUGUUUCGUGACUAUGCAGGCGUUGAAGUCUCUUCUCCGCGCAGAUCAACGGAGGAAGAUUUCUCAGAAAUUCGUCGGGUAUUUGUCACACUUCUGAAGUUGAAUGAUUCAGAAUAGAAUAUCGCUAGAGAGUAGCGAUUGAAAUAAGAAGAAGGUACUAUAAUACAAGCAAAAAUGUAACCAAGAUGUUUAUCAAGAUUAUUAUUAUCAAACCUUUUCCUAUAAUCUCAAAAUAUCGAAUCGACUAAUUUUUGAUACAAAUAGGAUUAGAAAUUAAAUGUAUCUAACUAUUCGAACACUAUAUAUAAAAAUGACGCGCUAUCGUUAAUUUUACAUUAUAAAUCCGAUAACUUUUUUAUUACUUCAGUUGAAUAAUAUUUGGAUCAACCGUAAUUGACUAACUAUAUCUAUCGUUUCAAAACACCUAUUAGUUGUUCAAGCAACAACAAAUCAUUAAGAUUACGAAGAAAAUGAUUUAUCUACUUUAUAUAUUAGAAAGGAGUUUACUGUUAGAAAGCAUAACGGAUCAGACAGGCUACGUAAAAUUUCACGAUUCGUUUGGCAUCUCGAUGAUUGGAAGAAUUCCUUUUUAUUAACAGCAAGCAUGUUUUGUUACAACGAGUUGCAACAAUUUGUGAAUUACAUUCUGUGCGUCAUAAAAUGUUUUAUUUCUUUUGUCAAAGCAAUGAUCGACAAACGUGAAAAUCCAUUAAGGAUUAUACAAUGUCCAACUAAUUAAACCGACUAAUGGAUUCCUAUUAUACGAGCAUACCAAUAGAAUUUCUUAACACGGUGAAUAUCUUUGUUGGUAUGUAUUCACAUAUGAGUACAAUAUUAUGUGACUCAACGGUUUAGCGAGUCUUGCCACGCCUUCGUUGGUCACGAGUAACUUUCUUUGUUGCUUUGUAGGAAGCUACUUAUUCGAGAUACUGUGUACUAAUACUCGUAAAGUAAUAGAUGCAACGAUAGUAAAUAUGUAGUACAAGAAGAGUGGGUUAAGCAACAGACAAGUGCAAAAUAAAAUAUACACGAUGUAACGCGUAUCUCUUUUUAUUACAGUAAAUACGUCGAACACGAGUUUAAUUAUUUAAAAUAAAUAUUUAUGACGAAAGGCUUAAAUUCAGUGACGCAGAGAGACGCAAUUAUUCGAAGCAAUAAUAUUUUAGAAGCUACGACUACUCUCGUACAAUUCUAAAUACUUUUUUUCGACUAAUUUUAAAAUAAGUACCACUUAAUAACGCAGAAGUUACUUUAGUAUGUCAUUAAUGUAUUUACGCUUUAAUCACGAAUUGUUUCAUAACGUGAUAUUAUGGUUGAAUAAUGCGAUUGAUAAUUUUAUUAAGAAGCAGGUACGAGCUGUGAUGAAUUUCAACAAACAGAAUUUAUCACGGCGUGCACUCGAUACGUAUAGUGGUCGCGUGAGUUGUUUUACUAACAAACCCGUAUCUUAGCCUCUCUUUUUGUUCGACGAUCUUCUUGUACUUCGUAAUUUGCCAAUCAUGCAUGAACAGCGUAAUAUUUAAUAUUAGUUUAAUCCCUGUAAAAUCACGCACGAUACGAUUAAUAGCAAUUUGUUGUUGUAGAAAAUAGUGAAUAUUUGUUUGAAUCGUUGAAUCGUAAUUGAAAUAUCAAUAAUUUCUAUACGUAAGUAACGAAUAGUAGAAAAAAUGUACGUACGAUUCGUACUCAUCUAUCGUAAAACGAAUGCUGAUAGAGGAGAACAUUAUGUGUCGUUAACGUCAAAAAACAGGUUAUGGUUUCGAUGACUCACUGUCUCGGCUUUGUAAUAUGUAGAUGCAAAGAACUCUUCGACCCGAUCUCCACCGGUUAUACUUUCAACGUAAUCGUUGAAUUCCUAUACGUCGUUGGGUCGAAAGACAUCAUUUGCGGUUUAUUUUUACCUUUCGACAAGACGAGAAUCAACCGCUUUCCUUUAAGAAUAGAGGUGUAGCCGAAUGAGGAUUUAUUCGAAACUGUUUAACCUCGUGGCUCACUUACGACUUGUAGAGCACAGAAAUCCAAUUAGGGAAGAAAGAGUCUUUUAUUUCAAGGAUGAGAUGCAAACGUAUGUAGAACGGACUAUUCGCCUAAUAAGAAAUUCAUAGACAAACGUAAUUAACAUCUAAAUAGCCCGUUUUUAUGUUUACAACCUGUAGCAUUUUCGUAUUAAAUCGCUACGUGAAUUUUUAUUAUCGAUAUUUUAACGUAAAAAAGUCAACGUGAGUGGAAAAAAAGUUAAAGAUGUACGAAGGAUUAUUUUCUGAUUCAAAAUCCGUUGAUUUAAAUUGAUGGUGUAACGGUAUAUUAUCGAAAUAAUUUAGCGAUAAAUCGUCGAUUGUAACGAUAAUAGGUAUUUUCGUUUUAAUUGAAUUGAUUUGAGUUCGCUUUGAAACGAUCUUCGUUUUUGAACGCACACACAUUUUAACGUAAACGGAUGUCAUAUGCACGUAACACUCCAUCAUGUUCGUAACAAAACAAAAAUCUAUUUCUUAACAAUCCGAGUUGAUGAAAACCAAUUUUUCCUGACACAAAAAUGUUGAACGACAAACAUCGAAGGGAUUAUAAUCGAGUGCAACCGUGGCUUAAAUAUCGUGUCAAGUAUUUCACGUAGCUAUAAAAUUUAUAUCUUCUUUAUUUUUUAUUUACAGUUUUCAUUAUAAUACAUCAGUUUUUUAUAUUUUCUGUUAGACAGAAAUUGUAUACGGAAAUUGUAUUUUCUAAGAAGAUGAUAAGCGUUUCCAUUCAUUUUCGUUCCCCCGUAUUCGCUCUGUACAGAUAUCUCGACAUAAUAUAGCCGUGUACACUUACGCCCACCGUCCGAUAUAUGCAAUUUCAGUUCGCUACAAUCUACAAUCGUAGUCUCGUAUUUGAUCGGCUGAACCAUAGAGUUUAAGUUCACCAGAUUCUGAAAAUUACCAUUGCUCUUACUUAAUGGGAUGCUCCGGUAUUCGCAGAGUACUCAUUUUCUACAAAAUCCAAUCCUAAAUGUCGAAGUUCAAGUUUUACAUAGCGGUACGGUUAUCUCGUUGUUUGUACAGACUGGUUAAAAAAUUUCCACGGAAACACGGAAAGCGAAAAAUAGAGGAUGGAAUUCUUUUCUGGAAAAUUUCAUUUCUGUUCUUUGGCUCUAUUGAGAAACGGACCUUGCGAGUUUCUCUGCUUUGUGAUCGUGCGACGAUUUCGAAAACACCCUGUAUAAACGUUGAAAAGUAUAGGACAGGUUGUAGGACAGGUAGUAGGACAGGUAGCUACAGUGAAAAUCAGUGUACGUUUUGUUAACUGAACGUAGACGGUUCUCACGGACCGUAGAUCCUCGCCUUCGGGCUCUUUCAUAGGAAAAUUACCGAUACAUCGAACAAGAAUGUAUUAUACAAUUUUCUGCGAGAAAUUUCCAUUCUCGUCCUCGCUUUCUCGUACCAUUUCCUUUUUCAUAUCUUUAUCAAUCGAUUUAGUAAUCAUCCCGUGACUCCACUAAUUUGAGGAACGAAUUGAAUUUAAAGACUAAUUACCUCGAAACUUUAACUUAAUCACGUUCCAUUAUCUCUAAACCAACACGAAGAUUCUAAGUAUUUGUGUUAAAGCAAAGAUAGCAACGAUAACGAAGAAAUUAUCAAGAGCUCGGAACCGCUAGGACUUUCAACUUUAUUUCAAAGGCUCUACCUGAGCACUUUCAAUGCGCAAGCUGCGCCGUAGAAUUUUACGUAACGUUGUGCCUCGCUCAUACUUGGAAAUGACUGGUGGUGGCCUUGCGCGACAGGCUCCGCCAUUGAUCAGACUCGCCAAAUUUCAAGGAAAGGAACACGUCGUGCUGAACGUUAAUUUCACCUUCCGGGUUACGCCUGUUUUGUUGCUGGAAAAUGCAUUCCUAUCGGAUUACGUUGGCAUACCGUGCUGCUGUGAUCGGUUCUAUAGAUCGGUGAAUGGGUUUCAUUCAUUUGAACAGUGGUUCUCAUGGGAUCCGCUAUGUUUCCGAGGUAUGUAGAGACCAGAUGUCAGGAUAAAGCGAAACCACCGCCAAGAGGGAGGAGAAUUGUCGACACGGUGAGAGACAGACUCAAAGAAUAGGAGAGACCUUUGAGCAAGCGAGAGAGAAAAAGAGAGAGACGGUGGAUUUCGAGAUGACAGAAAAGGGAGUAUAGAGGAUUGAUAGAGAAGGAAGGAGAAUAGAGGGCGAGAAGGGAAGAAAAGGCGAGGACUACCGCAAGUAGAUUCCGCGUGUAUAAUGACAGGCAACUGCAUUUUCAAUCGCGUUCUCCUGCAUAAAAAUGCUCGAGACCGACGUGCGCUGAACUUUAUCGUGUGUACACAAUUUUCCAUGAGUGGACGCGCCUUUGAUUGACAUGCAUCGAUUGCAUAAUACAACGCAUGGUCGCGCAUUGACGUUUAAGAAAGGAUUGGAUGAAAAAUAGAGGAAAAAAUAUACGCUUGAAAAAUUCGAUAACGUCAUAUUUGUUUUUGGGCAAUAUGCCUGCUUUAUUCGAUAUUUCUAUCGAGUUAUUAGUUAUUUAUUGUUUAUUAAUACAGCCAUGUAUUUAUACAUAUUCGAUAACAAUAACCAUGCAUUAUUGGAUAUUGUGAAUUAUGAAGCUGAUCGAUGGAAAUGCAACGGUACAUGGAAUACAUUAAUCGCCUUUGUGCAAGUUUCAUUAAUAAGUCCAUCGUUCUCUCUUUUCAAUAAAAUCUGUGGCAAAUUAUGAUUUUCUAUUGUUAAUAGAGAAAAGUAAAUGUGUUAAACACGCGUUUUAUGUGUAGAAAGCGAAACUAAAUAAAGACAUAGGUGACACUAA
Bombus pascuorum is the source of this 7373-nucleotide long non-coding RNA. RefSeq lists it as uncharacterized. Lineage: Eukaryota; Metazoa; Arthropoda; Insecta; Hymenoptera; Apidae. The transcript has 2 exons. The record is from RefSeq and is a predicted model, not a curated record.